RNAcentral lists this ribosomal RNA (111 nucleotides) under Triticum aestivum (bread wheat). Lineage: Eukaryota; Viridiplantae; Streptophyta; Magnoliopsida; Poales; Poaceae. The record is from RNAcentral. RNAcentral also lists the same sequence under 1 other name.
GGAUGCGAUCAUACCAGCAUUAAAGCACCGGAUCCCAUCAGAACUCCGAAGUUAAGCGUGCUUGGGCGAGAGUAGUACUAGGAUGAGAAACAGAAUGCACGUGUGCGAUAU